UACGAAGGGGGCGAGCAUUGUUCGGAAUUAUUGGGCGUAAAGCGCGCGCAGGCGGUCCUUUAAGUCUGAUGUGAAAGCCCACGGCUCAACCGUGGAGGGUCAUUGGAAACUGGGGGACUUGAGUACAGAAGAGAAGAGUGGAAUUCCACGUGUAGCGGUGAAAUGCGUAGAGAUGUGGAGGAACACCAGUGGCGAAGGCGACUCUUUGGUCUGUAACUGACGCUGAGGCGCGAAAGCGUGGGGAGCAAACAGG
This 253-nucleotide ribosomal RNA is filed under the name uncultured bacterium. RNAcentral's name for it is "partial 16S ribosomal RNA". It matches the Rfam family "Bacterial small subunit ribosomal RNA", at positions 524 to 776 of the family's 1533-position model. The record is from RNAcentral.